UCGAGCGGAGACAGUGAGUAGCUUGCUAUGAGCUGUUUUAGCGGCGGACGGGUGAGUAACGCGUGAGCAACCUUUCCCAGACAGGGGAAUAACACACCGAAAGGUGUACUAAUACCGCAUAAGACCACGGGAUCACAUGGUUCUGGGGUAAAAGAAUUAUCGGUUUGGGGUGGGCUCGCGUCCGAUUAGGUAGUUGGUGAGGUAACGGCCCACCAAGCCGACGAUCGGUAGCCGACCUGAGAGGGUGAUCGGCCACAUUGGGACUGAGACACGGCCCAAACUCCUACGGGAGGCAGCAGUGGGGAAUAUUGGGCAAUGGAGGAAACUCUGACCCAGCAACGCCGCGUGGAGGAAGAAGGUUUUCGGAUCGUAAACUCCUGUCCUUGGAGACGAGUAGAAGACGGUAUCCAAGGAGGAAGCCCCGGCUAACUACGUGCCAGCAGCCGCGGUAAUACGUAGGGGGCAAGCGUUGUCCGGAAUAAUUGGGCGUAAAGGGCGCGUAGGCGGCUCGGUAAGUCUGGAGUGAAAGUCCUGCUUUUAAGGUGGGAAUUGCUUUGGAUACUGUCGGGCUUGAGUGCAGGAGAGGUUAGUGGAAUUCCCAGUGUAGCGGUGAAAUGCGUAGAGAUUGGGAGGAACACCAGUGGCGAAGGCGACUAACUGGACUGUAACUGACGCUGAGGCGCGAAAGUGUGGGGAGCAAACAGG
This 705-nucleotide ribosomal RNA is filed under the name uncultured Bacillota bacterium. RNAcentral describes it as "bacterial SSU rRNA". It matches the Rfam family "Bacterial small subunit ribosomal RNA", at positions 62 to 776 of the family's 1533-position model. The record is from RNAcentral. Lineage: Bacteria; Bacillati; Bacillota.